RNA transcript from Quercus lobata, 3323 nucleotides. RefSeq lists it as uncharacterized. The record is from RefSeq and is a predicted model, not a curated record. NCBI's taxonomy places the organism in Eukaryota, Viridiplantae, Streptophyta, Magnoliopsida, Fagales, Fagaceae. The transcript has 4 exons.
AACACACUCUCUCUCUCUAAAUCAUAACACACACACACACACAUGUUUGGACUUUUGGCUUGACUCAUCCUUUUGUGUAUUGGAAGCAUAAUUAAAAGGAACUGUGGUUGGAAUGAUAUUCUGUUUUGAUUUUUUUAUGAAAACCCAAUACAGUGUACCACAUAUAAUUGAAUAUUUUCCUCCUAUCCUUCAUUUUCUAUUAGUUUUCUCAAGAAUUAGACAAGGUGUUAGUAUGUAUAAUUUGAGCUCGAAUUUUAUAGUAGUUUCUUUUUAAUAUCUUCAUUUUGACAGCUGAUUUAGGUUUGAAUUUUUAUUUUGCAAUUAUAGAAUUCUUAAUUUAGCUAUAGAUAAGCAAAAAGUUCAGAAACUCUGUUAAUGAAACUCGGGUUUUCGUUUUCUGAGAGACCCCAAUGAUCUUUUAAUAUCUAGGAUUUAAAAUCGUCCACCUUUCUCUUUAGCUUUCUAAGCAGCUAAAAAAAUGGGUAACAUGUAGAACUUAAGCUCAGAAUAAUAUAUGUAUUAAGAUAUCCGGGUAAAUCUACUGCAGAGUUCCUAAAAUCUUAUCCAUUCAUUUUUAAAGGAGUGGAUUAUAUUCUACGACGUAUCAACGUUUUAUAAAAUAUUGACUAUCACCAUUUUGGUAUCUAUUUAAAUUAUUGAUGAUGUGCCAAAAGCAAUCCACUCAUUCCAAAACAAAUAGAUAGGAUUUUAGGAAUUCCAUGAUGAAGUCAGCCUAAAAACUCUGGAGGAUCCUAAUUCUUUGGUAUAAUCAGUGUGUUUGCUAUAAGUGUUCAUUAGUUUGAGUUUGAAUUGUUAAACGAAAUGAAACAAGAAUGCAAAUCUUAUUAAUGGGUUUCAGAUAUUUCUGGCGAAUUUGAAUUUUCCACCUCUAUAGCUAAGGACUAGGUUGACUUGUUGUUUAUGGAUUGGAAGCAUAGCAUAGGAAGGGACCUUAUCACUAGAAUGAUAGUCUGAAUGUUUUAGGGGGAAGAAAUGGGCACCCAAACGCCUGCAAGUAGCAAUCGUACAAGGACAAACUGGACACCAGCAAUGGAGUGCUAUUUUAUUGAUCUUUUGUUAGAUCAGGUGCAUAGGGGGAAUAGGAUGGGCCAUACAUUAAAAAAACAAGCUUGGACUGAUAUGCUGACCGUUCAAUGCCAUUUUGGAUCCCCAUAUGAUAAAAAGGUCUUGAAAAGUCACUACACUAAUUUGUGGACUCAAUUCAAUAAGUUGGUCAGAAUGGAUUUUCAUGGGAUGAUACUAAACAAAUGGUGGUUGCCAGUCAUCAUGUUUGGGAUGCUUACAUCAAGGCUCACCCAGAGGCACAAUUCUAUAGAAACAAAGCUCUGAUGAACUACAAUGAUUUGUGCUUGAUAUAUGCACAUACAACAGGAGAUGGAAGAUACAGCCUAUCAAGUCAUGAUAUAGACUUUGAUGAUGACAUUCAAGGAGUGAAUACUGGCACACCCAGAUGCGCACUCAUAUCAUAGGAAGGCCUUGCUAAGCUAUGGAGAUUUGAAUUGAUAUUUGGAAAUGCAAUCAGCAACGGACAUUGCAGUCAUUUAUGGCAAGGGAGAAACUUCGAAGAUGAUAUAAUACAUAUCAAGACGGGUUAGGUUCAUUUCUUGAAUGUGUAGGAGGACCUUUAUAGGGAACCUGUAUUCUUGAGGACAUCCUCUUCAAUUUAUUAAUAUAGUCCUGUUUACUUAUCGAAAUAAAAAUGCUGGUUUCAUCUUUAUACAUACAACUUGGGAUUUAUUGAUUGUCACAAUUAGGACUCUGGUUAAUAUUAGGGUGUCCAAUAGGUCUUUAACCUUCACAAAUGGAAUUUUAUCAGAUAUGUUUAAUUACAGAGAUUCGCAUACUGUAUGACAGUUUUUUUUUCUUGAUGUAUGCUAUCCUUAAAUGGAAGUUCAAUUUAUAGGUUCUAGUUUUUUCAUUACAUGCCUGUAGGCAUGCCCAGUUCAUUAAGAUCCAUGAGAUUUUAAUUCAUUUUAAUAAUUUCUUUAAAUUUUCUCUUAGGGUUGGGACAGAUUUACUGGGCUGUGGGUAUUGUUCUGUAGUCUGUACCCAUCUUAUUGCUAUCCGAUUAUGUUGUUGAAUUAUAUGAGCUACUGUUUGUCAAUGAUGGCAAGUAUAAUGUGCUUCUAGCAUAAUUUAUGUUUAAAAGUCUGAAAUGUUUUGUUGAAUGAAAAGUUAUUUAUUACCCUCAUAAAUCAGUUAGUUUUGCCUUUCUUGUAGUUGAAGAAAAGGAGGGUUGUACCUCUUCUAAUAGUGAAUGUCUUUAAACAAAUUGGACAUCAACAAUGGAUCGUUACCUCAUUGAAUUGUUACCAGACCAGGUGCUUAGAGGGAAUAAAAUUGGUCAUGGAUUUGUGUCUGAGGCAUGGAUUGAAAUGGUUGGACUGUUCAAUGCAAAAUUUGGAUGUCACAUGACAAAGAUGGUCUAAGGAAAAGACACAAACAUUUGAGGGGACAAUAUAAUGAUAUAAAGGUUCUUCUUGACCAGGGCGGGUUUUCUUGUGAUGAAAUGGGAGAAAUGGUAACUGCUGAGGAUUAUGUCUGGGAUUCUUAUACCAAUGUGCAUCCUGAUGCUCAGUCAUAUGGAAAUAAAUCUGUUCCCAGCUGUCACAAAUUAUGUGUUUUAUAUGGUGAAGAAAUUUGUGAUGGAAGAUACAGCAUUUCGACGUGCAAUGCAGAUCUUGACAGUGAAGAACCAGAUUCGAGGAUUGGAAGGUUUCUUGUUUCAGCUACAAGAACUUCCCAAAUAAUUUAAGGAAGAUAUUAUCUGCUUAUUUAUUGUCUUAUUUUCUUUGUUGUGUUCUCAACCUACUGUUUGAUUGUUGAAUGCCAGAGUAUGUCUCCCUGUUUUGCAGUGUUUGAUUUGCAUCUUUGGGGGUUUUUGUCACUUCCCAUUCUCUUUCUCUAAAUUAAUGGGUUCUUUCAUGCGGGAUACUAAUUUAAUUUGAAAGGACAUUUAUGCAAAGUAAAAGUAUAAUUGAUGGUCAUAUUAUUUGUUUUUGAAUUCAGUAUCUUGUAAAUUCGUAAUGGUUAAAAAGCCUUCAAAAUUAUUCGAGAAAAAAACAUUAAAUUAUCUAGUUAAUGGACCAGUAAAGUCAGAAGCCCUAUGCUUUUUCAGACUCACUAAGAUACACAUCUAAUUGGCCAUUGUCAAGAGAUUUCUUGAAAUGAUUAGAAUUACUGGUUUUAAUUAGUUUAGCAUAUUGUCAUGGUGUUUUGAAAAGGCUCAGUGGUAUUUGUUUUGAAACAGAUAGCUUAAAUGAAUGUUGCUAGGAAUUUAAGGUUUGAUUAAUGGAAUUGUC